This 484-nucleotide ribosomal RNA is filed under the name uncultured bacterium. Its description in RNAcentral is "partial 16S ribosomal RNA". It matches the Rfam family "Bacterial small subunit ribosomal RNA", at positions 30 to 507 of the family's 1533-position model. The record is from RNAcentral.
AUUGAACGCUGGCGGCAGGCCUAACACAUGCAAGUCGAGCGGAUGAAGGGAGCUUGCUCCUGGAUUCAGCGGCGGACGGGUGAGUAAUGCCUAGGAAUCUGCCUGGUAUUGGGGGAUAACGUCCGGAAACGGGCGCUAAUACCGCAUACGUCCUGAGGGUGAAAGUGGGGGAUCUUCGGACCUCACGCUAUCAGAUGAGCCUAGGUCGGAUUAGCUAGUUGGUGGGGUAAAGGCCUACCAAGGCGACGAUCCGUAACUGGUCUGAGAGGAUGAUCAGUCACACUGGAACUGAGACACGGUCCAGACUCCUACGGGAGGCAGCAGUGGGGAAUAUUGGACAAUGGGCGAAAGCCUGAUCCAGCCAUGCCGCGUGUGUGAAGAAGGUCUUCGGAUUGUAAAGCACUUUAAGUUGGGAGGAACGGCAGUAAGUUAAUACCUUGCUGUUUUGACGGUACCAACAGAAUAAGCACCGGCUAACUUCGUG